This 427-nucleotide ribosomal RNA is filed under the name uncultured beta proteobacterium. Its description in RNAcentral is "bacterial SSU rRNA". It matches the Rfam family "Bacterial small subunit ribosomal RNA", at positions 355 to 774 of the family's 1533-position model. Lineage: Bacteria; Pseudomonadati; Pseudomonadota; Betaproteobacteria. The record is from RNAcentral.
UGGGGAAUUUUGGACAAUGGGCGAAAGCCUGAUCCAGCCAUGCCGCGUGAGUGAAGAAGGCCUUCGGGUUGUAAAGCUCUUUUAGUCGGAAAGAAAGAGUUGCAAUGAAUAAUUGUGAUUUAUGACGGUACCGACAGAAAAAGCACCGGCUAACUACGUGCCAGCAGCCGCGGUAAUAUGUAGGGUGCGAGCGUUAAUCGGAAUUACUGGGCGUAAAGGGUGCGCAGGCGGUCUUGCAAGUCAGAUGUGAAAGCCCCGGGCUUAACCUGGGAAUUGCGUUUGAAACUACAAGGCUAGAGUGCAGCAGAGGGGAGUGGAAUUCCAUGUGUAGCAGUGAAAUGCGUAGAGAUGUGGAAGAACACCGAUGGCGAAGGCAGCUCCCUGGGUUGACACUGACGCUCAUGCACGAAAGCGUGGGGAGCAAACA